This 534-nucleotide ribosomal RNA is filed under the name uncultured bacterium. RNAcentral's name for it is "bacterial SSU rRNA". It matches the Rfam family "Bacterial small subunit ribosomal RNA", at positions 28 to 533 of the family's 1533-position model. The record is from RNAcentral.
GGCUAACGCUGGCGGCGUGUCUUAGCCAUGCAAGUCGAGCGGACUUAUGGGGUAACUUAUAAGUCAGCGGCGGACGGCGGAGUAACACGUAGCUAACCUACCCUCUGGACGGGGAUAACCUACCGAAAGGUGGGCUAAUACCCGAUGUAGUCAUCCUGUAUAGGGGUGAUGAAAGGUGGGCUUCUGUUUACAAGCUCAUGCUGGAGGAGGGGGCUGCGGCCUAUCAGGUAGUUGGUAGGGUAAUAGCCUACCAAGCCGAUGACGGGUAGCCGGCCUGAGAGGGUGACCGGCCCGAGGGGCACUGAGAUACGGGGUCCCACUCCUACGGGAGGCAGCAGGCUAGAAAUUUGGGCAAUGGGGGAAACCCUGACCCAGUGACGCCGCGUGCAGGAAGGAGCCCUUCGGGGUGUAAACUGCUGUCGUGUAGGGAGAAGGGUACUAAGGUGAACAAUCUUAGUACUUGACGGUACUACAGAGGAAGGACCACGACGUACCUACCGUGCCACGCGACGCGCCGGUAGUAGUACGUACUAU